RNAcentral lists this ribosomal RNA (478 nucleotides) under uncultured bacterium. Its description in RNAcentral is "partial 16S ribosomal RNA". It matches the Rfam family "Bacterial small subunit ribosomal RNA", at positions 28 to 523 of the family's 1533-position model. The record is from RNAcentral.
GACGUACGCUGGCGGCGUGCUUAACACAUGCAAGUCGAACGGUAAGGCCCUUCGGGGUACACGAGUGGCGAACGGGUGAGUAACACGUGGGUGAUCUGCCCUGCACUUCGGGAUAAGCCUGGGAAACUGGGUCUAAUACCGGAUAGGACCACUGCCUGCAUGGGUGGUGGUGGAAGGCUUUUGCGGUGUGGGAUGGGCCCGCGGCCUAUCAGCUUGUUGGUGGGGUGAUGGCCUACCAAGGCGACGACGGGUAGCCGGCCUGAGAGGGUGACCGGCCACACUGGGACUGAGAUACGGCCCAGACUCCUACGGGAGGCAGCAGUGGGGAAUAUUGCACAAUGGGCGCAAGCCUGAUGCAGCGACGCCGCGUGAGGGAUGACGGCCUUCGGGUUGUAAACCUCUUUCAGCACCGACGAGGCGCAAGUGACGGUAGGUGCAGAAGAAGGACCGGCCAACUACGUGCCAGCCGCCGCCGUAA